GUGCUCACUUUGGCAGCACAUAUACUAAAAUUGGAACAAUGCAAAGAUUAGCAUGGCCCCUGCACAAGGAUGACAUGCAAAUUCGUGAAACAUUCCAUAUUUUC
RNAcentral lists this small nuclear RNA (104 nucleotides) under Prolemur simus (greater bamboo lemur). Lineage: Eukaryota; Metazoa; Chordata; Mammalia; Primates; Lemuridae. The record is from RNAcentral.